Molecule: ribosomal RNA, 1372 nt
Filed under: uncultured bacterium
Lineage: Bacteria
Description: bacterial SSU rRNA
Rfam family: Bacterial small subunit ribosomal RNA
Source: RNAcentral
GAUGAACGCCGUCGGCGUGCCUAAUACAUGCAAGUCGAGCGAACAGAUAAGGAGCUUGCUCCUUUGACGUUAGCGGCGGACGGGUGAGUAACACGUGGGUAACCUACCUAUAAGACUGGGAUAACUUCGGGAAACCGGAGCUAAUACCGGAUAAUAUUUCGAACCGCAUGGUUCGAUAGUGAAAGAUGGUUUUGCUAUCACUUAUAGAUGGACCCGCGCCGUAUUAGCUAGUUGGUAAGGUAACGGCUUACCAAGGCGACGAUACGUAGCCGACCUGAGAGGGUGAUCGGCCACACUGGAACUGAGACACGGUCCAGACUCCUACGGGAGGCAGCAGUAGGGAAUCUUCCGCAAUGGGCGAAAGCCUGACGGAGCAACGCCGCGUGAGUGAUGAAGGUCUUCGGAUCGUAAAACUCUGUUAUUAGGGAAGAACAUACGUGUAAGUAACUGUGCACGUCUUGACGGUACCUAAUCAGAAAGCCACGGCUAACUACGUGCCAGCAGCCGCGGUAAUACGUAGGUGGCAAGCGUUAUCCGGAAUUAUUGGGCGUAAAGCGCGCGUAGGCGGUUUUUUAAGUCUGAUGUGAAAGCCCACGGCUCAACCGUGGAGGGUCAUUGGAAACUGGAAAACUUGAGUGCAGAAGAGGAAAGUGGAAUUCCAUGUGUAGCGGUGAAAUGCGCAGAGAUAUGGAGGAACACCAGUGGCGAAGGCGACUUUCUGGUCUGUAACUGACGCUGAUGUGCGAAAGCGUGGGGAUCAAACAGGAUUAGAUACCCUGGUAGUCCACGCCGUAAACGAUGAGUGCUAAGUGUUAGGGGGUUUCCGCCCCUUAGUGCUGCAGCUAACGCAUUAAGCACUCCGCCUGGGGAGUACGACCGCAAGGUUGAAACUCAAAGAAAUUGACGGGGACCCGCACAAGCGGUGGAGCAUGCGGUUUAAUUCGAAGCAACGCGAAGAACCUUACCAAAUCUUGACAUCCUUUGACAACUCUAGAGAUAGAGCUUUCCCCUUCGGGGGACAAAGUGACAGGUGGUGCAUGGUUGUCGUCAGCUCGUGUCGUGAGAUGUUGGGUUAAGUCCCGCAACGAGCGCAACCCUUAAGCUUAGUUGCCAUCAUUAAGUUGGGCACUCUAAGUUGACUGCCGGUGACAAACCGGAGGAAGGUGGGGAUGACGUCAAAUCAUCAUGCCCCUUAUGAUUUGGGCUACACACGUGCUACAAUGGACAAUACAAAGGGUAGCGAAACCGCGAGGUCAAGCAAAUCCCAUAAAGUUGUUCUCAGUUCGGAUUGUAGUCUGCAACUCGACUACAUGAAGCUGGAAUCGCUAGUAAUCGUAGAUCAGCAUGCUACGGUGAAUACGUUCCCGGGUCU